RNAcentral lists this long non-coding RNA (2726 nucleotides) under Salmo salar (Atlantic salmon). Its description in RNAcentral is "lncRNA (ENSSSAG00000114529.1)". Lineage: Eukaryota; Metazoa; Chordata; Actinopteri; Salmoniformes; Salmonidae. The record is from RNAcentral.
GUUCUUAGAGCGUGGUCAUUGAUUCCAGAGUGAGCAGUCUCCUCUCCUUUCCGCUCUGUUAGGGUUGCAGAGAGACACUGGGAAGGAGAGAUUAGAAUAGGAGAGUCUCCGCUGAUUCUGUUUGUUUGAAGGCAUUCCCCCCCUCUCUCUCUCUCUCUCUCUCUCUCUCUCUCUCUCUCUCUCUCUCUCUCUUUCUUUCUUUGUUGUCUCUCUCUCUUUUCUCUCUGUCUCUGUCUCUCUCUCUCUCUCUCUCUCUCUCUCUCUCUCUGUCUCCCUGUCUCCCUCAGUCUGGUACCCUGUUCAAGAGUGAAUACCACAGACUAAGACAUAGGACCAUGACUGGGGAACUGAGGCCAAGUCGCCCAAAGGCAGGAACCAAGAGAGCCAGCAGUGAGGCCUUCGGAUCUGACUAUGACCUGGAGUAUGACAGCUAUCCAGAUUACCUCUACAACAGAUUCACGGAGGAGAGGAAGAAAGUCUUCGACGACCCUCCGUCAAGGCCCCCAUAGUGUUGCUGAGAUGGCAUGUGAGUUUCGCCCCCUCACCGCUGAGAGCAGCUGGAAUGAGGAGGUCCUUCAGGGAGCAUUCCAGAACGGGCUCACGGAGACCCUCAAGGACGUGUUGGUAUACCGGGAUGAGCCUGAUGGACUUGAUGAACUCAUCUCUCUUGCUAUCCGCAUCAACAACCGUCUCCAUGAGUGUCGGAUGGAGAGGACAGGUAGGGUUGCAUGCCCCAUACCAUCUGCUUCAUUGCCUUGUUCUCCUUCUCCCACUGCAUCCCAUCCCAAGGCUCUUCCAGAUCCUGAACCCAUGUAGCUUGGCCGGACCCGUCUCUCUCCAGAGGAGAGGCAACAACGAAUCAGCGCUAGGAGCUGCCUAUACUGUGGCCAGGUUGGUCACUUUGUCUCCACUUGUUCCUUGUGCCCAGCAAAAGAGGGGGCUCUGCAGUAGUGGGGGAUAUACUGUUGAGCCAAAUUGCCUGCCCGUCUUCCCCCAGACCCCUGCUUGAAGGCAACCUUGUGUGGCAGAGCCAGGCUUUUCCUCUGUCUGUUCUCAUCGAUUCGGGCGCUGACGAGAGCUUCCUGGACCGAGGUGUCGUUACCCAGUUUGGCCUGGACACUGUCCCACUCGAUUCACCCCUCGAUGCCAACGCUCUCAAUGGAAAGCUCCUCGCCCGUGUCUGUGAGAGAACCGUCCCUGUCAUCCUGCGUCUCUCUGGAAAUCACCCGGAAAAGAUCAGUUUCCACAUAAUCAACUGUCCUUACACUCUCCUGGUUCUUGGCCAUCCCAUGGUUAAAACUACAUAACCCACAGAUUGACUGGACCGCUGGGAAUGUAACCACUUGGAGUUCAUUUUGUCACUGUAAUUGUCUACAUUCUGCCCUUCCGCCUGCCUUUUCUGUGCCCCAGUUCAUUCCAGAACCUCCGGACCUGUCAUCAGUUCCUCCAGAGUAUCACAAUCUAGCUCCUGUUUUCAGCAAGCAUCACGCCCUGUCGCUGCCGCCUCAUCGGCUGUACGACUGCACCAUUGACUUCCAGCCUGGAGCUCCUCUCCCCAGUAGCCAGUUGUUUAAGCUCUCACCUGCAGAGAUGAAUUUUGACAUAGGAAACUGGGAACUCCUGGCAGUUAAGCUGGCUCUUGAGGAAUGGCGUCACUGGCUGGAGGGCACUGUACCCCCCUUCAUUGCAUGGAUUGACCAUAAAAACCUGUCCUACAUCCAGACCGCCAAAUGUCUGAACUCCCGGCAAGCCAGGAGGGCCUUGUUCUUCGGUAGAUUCAAUUUCACACUCACUUAUCGCUCCGGUUUGAAGAAUACCAAUCCUUAUGCCCUCUCUUGCCAGUUCACCACCGACAACACGGGUACCGAGCCAGAAGCCAUUGUGCCAUCCACCUGCAUUGUUGCCGCCAUCGCCUGAGAGAUCGAGUCCUGUAUCCGCCAGGCUCAGCAGAACCAGCCUGACCCGGGUAGUGGUCCUAGUAAUGCUCUGUUUGUUCCAGAUUGUGUUCUUCAGUGGGGCCAUUCUACCCACCUCACCUGUCACCUUGGUAUGAACCGGACCCUUGCCUUCCUGCGUCAGCGCUUUUAGUGGUCCACCAUAGAAAGCGAUGUCCGGGAGUUUGUCUCAGCCUGUUCGAUUUGUGCCCAGAACAAAACCUCCACUAAACCCACUUCUGGUCUGCUUCGCCCUAUUCCCAUACCCAGUCGACCCUGGUCACACAUAGCUCUGGACUUCGUCACUGGCCUACCCCCAUCUAAUUCUAACUCCGUCAUCCUCACCAUUAUUGACAGUUUUUCCAAAAUGGCUCACUUCAUUCCCCUCUCCAAGCUCCCAUCCUCCAGGGAGACUGCGGACCUGUUAGUAUCCCAUGUGUUUCAUCUGCAUGGCAUUCCCACUGACAUCAUUUCCGACAGAGGACCCCAGUUUACCUCCUAGGUAUGGAGAUCCUUCUGUUCAGCUCUUGGUACCAAUGUCAGUCUUUCUUCUGGAUAUCAUCCCCAGACCAAAAGCCAGACCGAACGGGUCAACCAAGAGAUGGAGAAUGCCCUACGCUGCGUAACUUCUGCUAACCCUUACUCCUGGAGCGACCAGCUACCCUGGGUUGAAUAUGCCCACAACACCCUCACCAACACCUCGUCAGGUAUGUCACCCUUCGAGUGUGCUCUGGGUUAUCAACCCCCCUUGUUCCCCGCCCAAGAGGUUGAGGUUGCGGUUCCCUCUGUCCA